GGGAAGAAAACAGGAUGCAGUAGAGGGAGAAGUGGAGUAUGGUGCAUGCCCAAGGAUAUAUACACAAGGACGAGGAACUCUGGAGCUGGAAUGGCCUUUCGAAACUCUCUUCCCUGAGGAGCAGACAGCCUGCCCAACAGUCAUUGUGUUGAUUCAUGACUACAACCCCAAAAUACGGCACUUCUGCCUGUGUGGAAACAACAGAAGCAGGAAGAUUACUCUCAUUUUUCUCUGGCCUUUUUCCCUUGAAGCAGACUAUAAAGAAGAAUCUGACCUUCCUCUGAAGGAAACCUUCAUUCCAGACAUACCCUCCCUAUAUCCAAAGAACAUCUUUAUCUUUAAAGACACAGAGAUGUCAAGAAGAAUCUGAACAAACAGGCUUUGCCAGAUCCCCCAGUUUACUAAUAUUGAACCAUACUCUUUUGUUCUUCAAUCAUACUUCUGCAUGAUGUCCAUAAAAAUACACAGUUUUCCCCAUUCCUUUUGGGUAUUUAUUCCCGAAAGCUUCUGUGUCAUGUAAAACUUACAUUAAAUAAAUUUGUAUGCUUUU
This 550-nucleotide long non-coding RNA is filed under the name Homo sapiens (human). RNAcentral describes it as "HSALNT0097134". Lineage: Eukaryota; Metazoa; Chordata; Mammalia; Primates; Hominidae. The record is from RNAcentral.